This 57-nucleotide ribosomal RNA is filed under the name Rhizoctonia solani. Its description in RNAcentral is "partial 28S ribosomal RNA". Lineage: Eukaryota; Fungi; Basidiomycota; Agaricomycetes; Cantharellales; Ceratobasidiaceae. The record is from RNAcentral.
CUACCCGCUGAACUUAAGCAUAUCAUAAGAUCUGAUCUCAAAUCAGUAGGACUACCC